This 643-nucleotide ribosomal RNA is filed under the name uncultured bacterium. RNAcentral's name for it is "bacterial SSU rRNA". It matches the Rfam family "Bacterial small subunit ribosomal RNA", at positions 144 to 803 of the family's 1533-position model. The record is from RNAcentral.
CAACAGUUGGAAACGACUGCUAAUACCGCAUGAUGCAUAAGGGUCGCAUGAUUCUUAUGCCAAAGAUUUAUCGCUUCAAGAUGGCCUCGCGUCUGAUUAGCUGGUUGGCGGGGUAACGGCCCACCAAGGCGACGAUCAGUAGCCGGACUGAGAGGUUGAACGGCCACAUUGGGACUGAGAUACGGCCCAGACUCCUACGGGAGGCAGCAGUGGGGAAUAUUGGGCAAUGGGCGCAAGCCUGACCCAGCAACGCCGCGUGAAGGAAGAAGGCUUUCGGGUUGUAAACUUCUUUUAAGAGGGAAGAGCAGAAGACGGUACCUCUAGAAUAAGCCACGGCUAACUACGUGCCAGCAGCCGCGGUAAUACGUAGGUGGCAAGCGUUGUCCGGAUUUACUGGGUGUAAAGGGCGUGCAGCCGGGUCUGCAAGUCAGAUGUGAAAUCCAUGGGCUCAACCCAUGAACUGCAUUUGAAACUGUAGAUCUUGAGUGUCGGAGGGGCAAUCGGAAUUCCUAGUGUAGUGGUGAAAUGCGUAGAUAUUAGGAGGAACACCAGUGGCGAAGGCGGAUUGCUGGACGAUAACUGACGGUGAGGCGCGAAAGUGUGGGGAGCAAACAGGAUUAGAUACCCUGGUAGUCCACACUGU